Molecule: ribosomal RNA, 468 nt
Filed under: uncultured bacterium
Lineage: Bacteria
Description: partial 16S ribosomal RNA
Rfam family: Bacterial small subunit ribosomal RNA
Source: RNAcentral
GACGAACGCUGGCGGCGUGCUUAACACAUGCAAGUCGAACGGAAAGGCCCUGCUUUUGUGGGGUGCUCGAGUGGCGAACGGGUGAGUAACACGUGAGUAACCUGCCCUUGACUUUGGGAUAACUUCAGGAAACUGGGUCUAAUACCGGAUAGGAGCUCCUGCUGCAUGGUGGGGGUUGGAAAGUUUCGGCGGUUGGGGAUGGACUCGCGGCUUAUCAGCUUGUUGGUGGGGUAGUGGCUUACCAAGGCUUUGACGGGUAGCCGGCCUGAGAGGGUGACCGGCCACAUUGGGACUGAGAUACGGCCCAGACUCCUACGGGAGGCAGCAGUGGGAAAUAUUGCACAAUGGGCGGAAGCCUGAUGCAGCAACGCCGCGUGCGGGAUGACGGCCUUCGGGUUGUAAACCGCUUUCGCCUGUGACGAAGCGUGAGUGACGGUAAUGGGUAAAGAAGCACCGGCUAACUACGUG